Molecule: long non-coding RNA, 634 nt
Organism: Chroicocephalus ridibundus (black-headed gull)
Lineage: Eukaryota; Metazoa; Chordata; Aves; Charadriiformes; Laridae
Exons: 3
Source: RefSeq, a predicted model, not a curated record
GUGAGCAGCAGAGCUGCUGAAACGCGGGUUUCACAAGUCCUUCAGGGGGCUUGGGCUACGGCAAAAGCCGUGAACGCACAUCAGGGGCUGUGGGGGCCCUUGUUCCCACGGGGUCACACCACUCCUGUCGCCAGCAGUCGGGAAGUUGGAACAAACUGCACCAAAUGAAGGCACGACCAUGUUUGAAAGGCUCUUCAUUUGCACAGUGGAACAAAAACUGGCAACUAAAGCAGGAAUAAUGACUCAAAGCUAGCUUGCACUUCAGCUGCCCCAGUAAAACUUGCCUCCACGCAUCACCCCUCACUGGAUAGCAGCAAUGCAGAAAGAUGUACAGCACACGCGCGAACACUCACCUUCUGCUUCGUCAUGUCCAGGAGACCUACUGAGUACCGGUCGCAGUUCAGCAUGCAAUAAGUAAUGCUGAAAGCCACAAGCCCAGUGAGGAGGACUGAAGAAACACCUGAAGAAUGGACAAUCCAUGGAAUGAUGUAAAGAAGUUGGGCAAAACGUGCUAUGUGGUCUUCUAAUAAGACUCUUACACAGUAUCUGAGCACAAGUGGACUGAUCUGUCUUUGCACAAGCCAUUUUACUUACAGUAUCCCACAGUCUUUGCAGUUGGGAUUUGCAAUAUUAA